Molecule: transfer RNA, 73 nt
Filed under: Amborella trichopoda
Lineage: Eukaryota; Viridiplantae; Streptophyta; Magnoliopsida; Amborellales; Amborellaceae
Rfam family: tRNA
About the family: Transfer RNA (tRNA) molecules are approximately 80 nucleotides in length. Their secondary structure includes four short double-helical elements and three loops (D, anti-codon, and T loops).
Source: Rfam by way of RNAcentral
GUUGGGUUAGCUUAGCUCAUAGAGCAGAGGACUGAAAAUCCUAGUGUCACGAGUUCAAAUCUGGUUCCUGGUA